CAGCGAGGAGUGUCGAUCGA
This 20-nucleotide non-coding RNA is filed under the name Arabidopsis thaliana (thale cress). Lineage: Eukaryota; Viridiplantae; Streptophyta; Magnoliopsida; Brassicales; Brassicaceae. The record is from RNAcentral.